UACGAAGGGGGCUAGCGUUGCUCGGAAUCACUGGGCGUAAAGGGUGCGUAGGCGGGUCUGUAAGUCAGGGGUGAAAUCCUGGAGCUCAACUCCAGAACUGCCUUUGAUACUGAAGAUCUUGAGUUCGGGAGAGGUGAGUGGAACUGCGAGUGUAGAGGUGAAAUUCGUAGAUAUUCGCAAGAACACCAGUGGCGAAGGCGGCUCACUGGCCCGAUACUGACGCUGAGGCACGAAAGCGUGGGGAGCAAACAGG
RNAcentral lists this ribosomal RNA (253 nucleotides) under uncultured bacterium. RNAcentral's name for it is "partial 16S ribosomal RNA". It matches the Rfam family "Bacterial small subunit ribosomal RNA", at positions 524 to 776 of the family's 1533-position model. The record is from RNAcentral.